UGGGGAAUAUUGCGCAAUGGGCGAAAGCCUGACGCAGCGACGCCGCGUGAGGGAUGAAGGUUUUCGGAUCGUAAACCUCUGUCAGAAGGGAAGAAACCGCACUGUGCUAAUCAGCAGUGCCUUGACGGUACCUUCAAAGGAAGCACCGGCUAACUCCGUGCCAGCAGCCGCGGUAAUACGGAGGGUGCAAGCGUUAAUCGGAAUUACUGGGCGUAAAGCGCACGUAGGCUGCUUUGUAAGUCAGGGGUGAAAUCCCACGGCUCAACCGUGGAACUGCCUUUGAUACUGUUUAGCUUGAAUCCUGGAGAGGGUGGCGGAAUUCCAGGUGUAGGAGUGAAAUCCGUAGAUAUCUGGAGGAACAUCAGUGGCGAAGGCGGCCACCUGGACCGGUAUUGACGCAGAGGUGCGAAAGCGUGGGGAGCAAACAGG
Molecule: ribosomal RNA, 429 nt
Filed under: Fusobacteriota bacterium
Lineage: Bacteria; Fusobacteriati; Fusobacteriota
Description: Fusobacteria bacterium partial 16S ribosomal RNA
Rfam family: Bacterial small subunit ribosomal RNA
Source: RNAcentral